Molecule: ribosomal RNA, 246 nt
Filed under: uncultured Actinomycetes bacterium
Lineage: Bacteria; Bacillati; Actinomycetota; Actinomycetes
Description: uncultured actinobacterium partial 16S ribosomal RNA
Rfam family: Bacterial small subunit ribosomal RNA
Source: RNAcentral
GACGAACGCUGGCGGCGUGCUUAACACAUGCAAGUCGAGCGGUAAGGCCCUUUCGGGGGUACACGAGCGGCGAACGGGUGAGUAACACGUGGGUGACCUGCCCUUAGCUCUGGGAUAAGCCUGGGAAACGAGGUCUAAUACCGGAUAUGACCUGCUCUCGCAUGGGGGUGGGUGGAAAGUUCUGGCGGUGCAGGAUGGACCCGCGGCCUAUCAGCUUGUUGGUGGGGUGAUGGCCUACCAAGGCGA